This 204-nucleotide long non-coding RNA is filed under the name Elaeis guineensis (African oil palm). Its description in RNAcentral is "long non-coding RNA (EGUI_LNC036525)". Lineage: Eukaryota; Viridiplantae; Streptophyta; Magnoliopsida; Arecales; Arecaceae. The record is from RNAcentral.
AGAUAUCCAUGAUGGCCUUUGGCUUGUGCUGAAGUGGGCCACGAAAGAAUGCUCAAGCUGCUCAAAGAGUUAAUACUUUUCGACUGAAGUCUGAAAUACCAGGCUCGAGCAGCCUUCCGAAGAGUUAUCGAGAAGCCAAUGCAUAAGAGGAUGUCGGUUGCCCCUUGGAUCAUCAUGAGAGCCUUAUAGCUCUCUACGUGGUCG